Molecule: long non-coding RNA, 970 nt
Filed under: Pan troglodytes (chimpanzee)
Lineage: Eukaryota; Metazoa; Chordata; Mammalia; Primates; Hominidae
Description: lincRNA
Source: RNAcentral
GAAGUUGCACUGACCUGGCCAGCCCUGCCACUUACCAGGUUGGAAUCUAGUGAACUUGAUGAGUCAAGACUAUUGCAAUUGGAAAUCUGUUCUCCUCUGCUGCUGCAUUCCCUGCUUAAUACUCAAGCCAGAAACCAGGAAGGCUGUGGCUUGCCUUUUCACUUCUUGUGUCCUGUUUAAGAAAUAUCUACUAUCCCAAGCAUCUGGCAUCUUUCUUGACACAUGUAGCAGUUGCUUUUUGACAGCUUGCUUCUUCAGUGAAUGAAUAAAUUAAUAAAGAGAAAUGUGAUGUUCAGUGAUCCAUUUUGCAGCAUUUAUUAAAUACUAGUGCAUAAUGAUGGAAUAAAUUUUAUACCGUAAGGAUAAACCAGUAUUCUGGACUAAGCCAACCUGGGAGACCCUAGGAGGCCUGUUUGAGAAAGUGACAUUUAAAUUGAGACUUGGCGGUGGCUGUGGCUACAUAUCUAAUUGCAAACUCCUAGAGAAGGGCUCAACAGUGAGUGCUGAGGCUGCACAGAGGAGGAAGGCAGCACAAUGAUGGAAGGCUUCCUAAAGAGAUAACACUAACAAAGUUGACCUUAGAAUUGGAGUGCCUGGGUUAGAACCCUGCUGGUACCACCUGCUUACUGCAUGCUUCUGAUGUGAGUUCAGGAGAAGACACUGGCAAGGACAGCAAAGAACAGGAGAACACUCUAGCUUCCCUGAUAGCAUUCAAGGUGCUGUCCAAACUGACUGUGAUGGCACCCUCCAGACAGACAGCGAUGCCACAUGUUCAAGAUGGCAGAAUCACUAUCAGCUUCAAUUCCUGAAUGACUGCAGAGCAAAAUUUCUUACCCGCAACAUACACUCUAUUUUCAGCCUCCCUGGACUGUUACAUAAUGAUACAUAAAAAUAUUUCUUGUGUUGAGGCAUCCCAAAUUUGAUCUAUUUGUCAUCACAGUCUAUCCUCUGAAUAUAUUUCUGAUCCAAA